GAGGGUAUAGCUCAGUGGUAGAGGGCAUGCUUAGCAUGCACGAGGUCCUGGGUUCAAUCCCCACUACCUCCA
Molecule: transfer RNA, 72 nt
Filed under: Camelus bactrianus (Bactrian camel)
Lineage: Eukaryota; Metazoa; Chordata; Mammalia; Artiodactyla; Camelidae
Also listed under: 2 other names
Rfam family: tRNA
About the family: Transfer RNA (tRNA) molecules are approximately 80 nucleotides in length. Their secondary structure includes four short double-helical elements and three loops (D, anti-codon, and T loops). Further hydrogen bonds mediate the characteristic L-shaped molecular structure. tRNAs have two regions of fundamental functional importance: the anti-codon, which is responsible for specific mRNA codon recognition, and the 3' end, to which the tRNAs corresponding amino acid is attached (by aminoacyl-tRNA synthetases). tRNAs cope with the degeneracy of the genetic code in two manners: having more than one tRNA (with a specific anti-codon) for a particular amino acid; and 'wobble' base-pairing, i.e. permitting non-standard base-pairing at the 3rd anti-codon position.
Source: Rfam by way of RNAcentral